This is an RNA transcript of Andrographis paniculata, 7699 nucleotides long. RefSeq lists it as uncharacterized. The record is from RefSeq and is a predicted model, not a curated record. The transcript is spliced from 32 exons. Lineage: Eukaryota; Viridiplantae; Streptophyta; Magnoliopsida; Lamiales; Acanthaceae.
UUGAUAACGGGAAGGAAGAAACUAGAAAGAAGCACGAGAGAGAGAGAGAGAGAGAGAGAGAGGGAUGGAACUGGAGAGAAGAGAAAGUCCAGAGAGAAGAAAUCGAUCGUGGAAGAGACUGUCUUCCGUCGUCUACCCCGGUCGUCGGCCGGCGGCCAUAAGAAAAAGAAGAUCGAGAGAAAGGAGAAAAACCAACGGUUUGCCCGGCCUUCGUUCGUUCUGCUCUGCUCUGUCCACCGGACCCUGAUAUCAACUAUGUCGAUACAUUGUUAUUUCACUUGCCAUCCAUUACUGUUUGAACCUUGCUGAGCUUAAUAUUUUAUUUCCUUCCUAUGUGUGAUGUUAGAUCUAAAUUGGCAUUGUAGAACUUGCCUCGAAAUGCAUGUUGAACACACAUAAGGACUUGAUAUAAGUAAGAUGAUGGGGGCAUUAGGUAUACCUACUUGGCUUAAAUUAUCCUACCCAAAAUUUUAUCCACUAGUUAACAUUGUUGAGCCUUUUUAUAACCUUUUCAUUCUUUAAUUAAUCAUUAAUCCUUUAGCCAUAUACCAUUUUUUGGAUUUAUACCUUAUAUUGAUCCUUGUGUCGAAGGAAGAGUGGAAAUUUUAUGGCUAUCAUUUAUAUUAUUCUUGUAUACAAUGUAGAAAAGGAAAUUUUAGUGUUGUUGAUGUUUACAAAAAAGAAAAUAAAACAAAGGGGCUAGACCCCAACAAAACAAAAAAAAAAAAAAACCAAAAAAAUACUGAAACAAGAAAGCAAAAAGAAGCAGCACAAAAAAGUACAAAAAAACCAAAAAGAAACAAAAAUGAGUGGAGUUACGGUUACCAAUGUAAUGUUGAUUUCAGUUUUUACAAGUGAUAUGCUUUAAUUCUUUCCAUUGUUGUUUCGACACUUUUUAGCCGUUCAUUAUCUUUUUUCUACCUAUACCCCGAGCCCCAUUACACCUGUUUAAAGACCCCCUGAUACUUGUCAUUAGGUCCCUUAAGUGAGGGAGAUAUGAUUGACAUGCAAGCCUAUGGGAUUGUCAUUUUUAUGAUUUAACUUGAGUGCAUACACUUACCCAUGGUGAGGUUUGUUGAGCUCAGCUUGGUUCACUCAUUAUUAUUAUCCAUUUAGCUGUGAUUCCGGGUGAAAGAUUGGAGUGCAUUGUUCAAGUACCACAAUGGAAAUGCAGUGCCUACUCAAAGAAAUGAACAAAAUAAAGAGAAAAAAAAUCAGAAAAAAAAUAACAGAUAAAAAAAAAAUGAGAAAAAGGAAAAAGUAAAAAAAAAAAAAAAAAAAAAAAAAACAGAAAAAAGAAAAAGAAAGAGAAAAAAAAAAGUCAAUCAAAGUGCAAAUGUCGAACUUGUGGGUGGCUGUGAAAGAAAACAUGAAAACGAUGAAGCAAAGGAACUCAUUAGGUCAAAACAUCCUAUGUCGGCCUUCAUCUACUCACACAAGUGCCAAGCUGCAUUACCUGUAAAAAAUAAGAACAUUGUGGAGGUUUUGAAGACCGUCGGUGAGGGUUGGAUAUGCAAUACUUACCCAAAGAAAGUUAAAUAAAUAAAAGAAAAAGAGAAAAAAAAUGAAAAAAAAAAAAAAGAAAUGCAAUCCAAAUGCUUGUCGAACUUGUUGGGGGCAAAAUGGAAGACAAUUAAUGAAGUCGCGAAGGAAAACAAGAAAACUAAAUAUGAAAGAAAAGGACAUAUUAAAGCCAAAACAUCCUAUGUCAGGCCUCCAUCUAAUCGAACAAGCGGUGAGCUACAUUGGUUGAAGAGAAUAAGAACAUUUUUGAGAACAUCGUAACAAGGAUGCUUCAGAUUCCACUGGAAAUAGAGUUGUUUAUGCUGAAGCUAAAUGUUCUGCAUAUUUUAACACUACAAUGGACAUGCGUACCAACCCAAAAAUAUGAAAAGAAAAAAAAAAGAAAAAAAAGUCUGAACAAAAAAAGUUAAAAGAAAUGAAAAAAAAAACAGAGAAAAAAUAAAAAGAAAGAGAAAAAAGCAAAAAAAUUGAAAAAAAAAAAGAAAGUCAAUCGACAAACAUCGAACCUGUUGAGGGCUGUGAAAGAAAACAAGAAAAAAAGAAGGAGGAGAACCCAUUACGGCCGAAACAUCCUAUGUCGGCCUUAAUCUACUCGGACAAGUGCCGAGCUACAUUGAUUUUAGAGAAUAAGAACAUUGUGGAGGUUUUGAAGACCGGCAGGGAGGGGUGGACAUGCAAUACUUACCCAAGGAAAGUAAAAUAAAUAAAAAUGAAAACAAAAAAAGAAGAAGAGAUGAAACAGUAAAGAAGGCCAAUCUAAAUGUGACUUCAAAGAGGUGUCGAACUUGUUGGGGGCAAAAUGGAAGACAAUUAGUGAAGUCGUGAAAGAAAACAAGAAAACAAAAAUAGGAAGGAAAAGGACAUAUUAAAGCCAAAACAUCCUAUGUUAGGACUCCAUCUACUCGAACAAGCGGUGAGCUACAUUGAUUGAAGAGAAUAAGAACAUUGUUGAGAUUGUGCCGGUGAGGAAAGGACAUGAAGAAUGUGCUUAAAAGUACGGUCUCGCUAUUUUUUUGAAGUUGAGAAGAGAUACUUAUCCUUUUUUGGAUGCCAAAGCUUUUUGGGCAGGAGAUGAUAUAGCAUUGGCUUAAUUACAUCUUAUUAAUGUUUUCUUUAUAAUGCAGCACCAUAAUGGACAUACAGUGCGUACCCAAAAAAUGAAAAGAAAAAUAAAAAGAAAGAAAAAAAUAUCUGAAAAAAAAACAGUUAAAAAAAAAAGAAAUGAAAAGAAACAGAAAAAAAGAAAAAGGAAAAACAAAAGAAAAAAGCAAAAAAAUUGAAGAAACAUAAACAGAAAAAAGCAAAAUAAUUGAAAAAAAAAAGGCUGUGAAAGAAAACAAGAGUAUAUAUGAAUUUGUUUACUUUUUCUAAAUCCUAUUGGUUGUUAGUUUGUUAAAUAAUCAUAUAUGGUUCUUCUACGUAGAUAGGAAGGAGAACCCAUUACGGCCGAAACAUCCUAUGUCGGCCUAAAUCUACUCGAACAAGUGCUGAGCUACGUUGAUUUUAGAGAAUAAGAACAUUGUGGAGGUUUUGAAGACCGGCAGGGAGGGGUGGACAUGCAAUACUUACCCAAGGAAAGUAAAAUAAAUAAAACAGAAAAAAAGAAGAAAAGAUGAAACAGAAAAGAAGGCCAAUCUAAAUGUGACUUCAAAGAGGUGUCGAACUUGUUGGGGGCAAAUUAGAAGACAAUUAGUGAUGUCGUGAAAGAAAACAAGAAAACAAAAUAGGAAGGAAAAGGACAUAUUAAAGCCAAAACAUUCUAUGUCAGGCCUCCAUCUACUCGAACAAGCAUUGAGCUACAUUGAUUGAAGAGAAUUAGAACAUUGUUGAGAUUGUGAAGACUGCCGGUGAGGGAUGGACAUGAAGAAUGUGUUUCAAAAGUACGGUUUGACUACUUUUUUGAAGUUGAGAAGAGAUAUUCAUCCUCUUUUGGAUGCCAAAGCUGAAAAGCACCAUAAUGGACAUGUUGUGCCUACCCAAAAAAAUGAAAAGAAAAAAGAAAAAAAAAAUCUGAAAAAAACGGUUUAAAAAAAAACAGAUGAAAAAAAACAGAGAGAAAAAAAAAAGAGAAAAAAAGAUGAAACAGAAAAGAAAGCCAUUCCAAAUGCUCACUUCAAAGAGAUUUCGAACUUGUUGGGGGCAAAAUGGAAGACAAUUAGUGAAGUCGUGAAAGAAAACAAGAAAACAAGAAAACUAUAUAGGAAGGAAAAGGACAUAUUAAAGCCAAAACAUCCUAUGUCAGGUCUUCAUCUACUCGAACAAACGGUGAGCUACAUUGAUUGAAGAGAAUAAGAACAUUGUGGAGAUGAUAAUGGAGCGUGUUUGUUCUCUUCCGCCAAAUAUUGUCCAUCAGAUUGUUGAGUUGGCUGGAACUGCGACAAUAAUUCAGGGCACAUCUCCUCUUGCUUGUGGAUUCUAUUCGACCUAACGAAAACGUUGGCAGUGCACCCUGCAAUGCUUCAAGGGCAGCUUACAUGCCAAUUGACAUCAGUAAUGAGCAAUGGAUGCUGUAUUUUGUCAAAUACAGAAGGAUCGGAAGCUUGGUCUUGCUCUUUUCCAGGCUCCUUGGCCUGUUGUUGAUAAAUUUUUAUCUUCAGAUAGUCAUAUCACUAUGUUGGAGCUGUGCCAGGCUCCUGAAGUCGAGCGCUAUUUGCAUGAUUUACUUCCAUACGCACUUGCUGUAUUGCACAUUGUAACUUUGAUUCCUUAUAGUCGCAAACCUUCUGUGAAUGCUACAUUGACCAAUGAUCGGGUUGGUAUAGCUGUCAUUUUGGAUGCUGCAAAUGGUGAUGGUUAUGAUGAACCUGAGAUUGUUGAACCAGCAUUGAGUUUUUUAAUAAAGCUUGUGUGCCAUCCUUCAUCAAUAAGCAAUAAGCCAAGUCUCAUGCAAGGUCAGCAAUACGGAAAUCAAUCUGCUAUAAACUCCAGGGACAGAAAUUCAGAGAGGAAUUUCCCAGGAACUGGGGAACUGACACCUAUGCCAUCAUCUGUUGGUAACACUUCAUCAUCACAGGCAUCUGCUUCAUUAGUUGCUUCUGGUUUAGUUGGAGACCGCAGAAUUUCGUGCUUGGCUUGGUGCUCAGCUUGAACAAGGAUAUCAUCAAGCUAGAGAAGCUGUUCGUGUAAAGCAUGCUUCUUCAGUUUCUCCAACCUCGAAUGGUGACAUCCCCUGCAGCUCUUGAUUGUCUUCGUGCUCUUACAUGCCGAGUGCUUUUAGGUUGAUGCUAUUUCAAUAUUGACCGAACUUCAGGUUGGGAAAAGUUAUCAGAGCUCAUCCGAGUGGGAGCCAAACUGCCAGUGGUGACCAAAAUAGGUGACUGGCCGAAUUAACUCAAGUGAGCUUAUUGGUAAUCAUAAACUCUGAGGUGUGGGAUCUCCGGAGCCAUCAUUAGAUCAGACGGUCGGUGAUAACAUUUAAUGCCAGUGGUGAUGUUAUAUAUGCAAUCCUCAGGCGAAAUCUAGAGGAUGUCACUUCAGCAUUCAAUGCACGCCAUGUGAAGCACCCUCUCUCUUUUGCUUUUUGCAUUGUGGAUGCUGUCAACUAUUUCGGAUAUUGCGAAAGUUCCCGUGGAUCCCUGGUGUAGUUGCUAAAUUAUUCCUAGACUCUCUGCAGCAGAAACAAGAAGACAAAUAUAUUAUUCAUAGACUCAUGAUUACGAAUAUCCUCUACAUGUGGAUGCAGCAGCAAAUUGUGAAGUUAUAUCACUUUGCAUUGAAUAGAAUUGGUGCCUGCGAGCGUGGUCCGAAUCAGAUUGAAUCAAGGGACCGAACUGGGGAACUGAUUCCAUCUUCUGUUGCUCAUCAUCACAGGCAUCUGCUAGUUGCUUCUGGUUUAGUUGGAGAUUUAGGUGCUCGAGCAGGUUGUGCUGGGCUGGUUCGAAUGGUGACAUCCCCUGCAGCUCUUGAUUGUUUUCAUGCUCUUACAUCCUGAGUACUUUAGCAGCUAGUGAUGCAGCGACUCCCACUUUGAGACCAUUGAAAGAGGAGCAGCCAUUGCUGCUGCUACUCCAGUUUCUUAUCAUUCUAGGGCUUAUCCAUGAGCACCUUCAAUUAUCUGGAUUAGGUUAUCACCAAUGCCAUCCUUGGCUGCUCCAUCAUCUUUAGCACAACACGCAUCUGGGCAGGAGUUGUCAUCAGUACAAAUGCAAUGGCCAUUCUAGCUUGAGAAGCUUAUCCAUUAGCAUCUGGAUUAGGUGAGACUGCAUCUUUGCUAAGUUAUCACCAUUGGCUGCUCCAUCAUCUUUAGCGCAACACGCAUCUGGGCAGGAGUUGUCAUCAAUACAAAUCCAAUGGCCAUCUGAAUGAGCAACUUGUGGAUUCUUGUUGGAUAGACCAAAUUGGUGAACAUACACUCAGACCAUAUGGAUUCGAACUUGUUAUGCACACCAUCUGUUGAGAGUUCUGCUAACCAGUCGACGUAUUUAUCCUCAUGUCUGCCCUGAGCCAAGCAUUCAAUGUUUGCAUCACUGCCAUCAGAUUCAUCCCGGUGUUAAAUCCUUGUGUAUGAUGAUAUCCAGUCUUGUCAAUUGGAUCUGACACUGACUGAUACUUCUAAUAACCCGUCUGGACAUGAUCAUGGAUGUGAUUAUGCAUAUUGACUCAAUGCUGCUUUGGAAUGGAGUUUUGUGGGAUCGCAAGACCAAUUCAUCAAUUUUAUCAAUUUACUGCCUGUGAUGGUGGGGGCUACCAUUCUGCUGGGAAUGAGAUUGUUGAACCAGCGUUGAAUUUGUUAUUGUGUGCCCUCCUUCAUGAAUAAGCAAUAAGCCAAGUCUCAUGCAAGGUCAGCAAGCUUCUUCUACCCAAGCUGGAAAUCAAUCUGCUAUAAACUCCAGGGAUAGAAAUUCAGAGAGGAAUGUCCCAGAGCGUGGUCCAAAUCAGAAUGAAUCAAGGGAUCUAACUGGGGAACUGACACCUAUGCCAUCAUCUGUUGGUAACACUUCAUCAUCACAGGUAACACUUCAUCAUCACAGGCGUCUGCUUCAUUAGUUGCUUCUGGUUUAGUUGGAGAUCGCAGGAUUUCGUGCUUGGACAAGGAUAUCGUAAAGCUAGAGAAGCUGUUCGUUCAAGGCAUGGUAUAAUGGUUCUUCAGCUUCUCCAACCUCGAAUGGUGACAUCCCCUGCAGCUCUUGAUUGUCUUCGUGCUCUUACAUGCCGAGUGCUUUUAGGUUGAUGCUAUUGCACAUAUAUUGACCGAACUUCAGGUUGGGAAAAGUUAUCAGAGCUCAUCCGAGUGGGAGCCAAACUGCCAGUGGUGACCAAAAUAGAUGGCAGGCCGAAUUAACUCAAGUGAGCUUAUUGGGCUUAUCCAUGAGCACCUUCAAGCAUCUGGAUUAGCUGAGAGUGCAUCUUUGCUAAGUUAUCACCAUUGGCUGCUCCAUCAUUUAGCACAACACACAUCUGGGCAAGAGUUGUCAUCAGUACAAAUGCAAUGGCCAUCUGAACGAGCAACUUUUCAGGAACACCAUCAGUGUCUACUGGGAAAUCAAGUUGCGAUCCAGACAAUCCGAGAAGAACUCCAAUAGUGUUGCCAAUGAAACGGAAAAACAGACAUGAAAGAAAAUGGGUUUGGAUCAUCGGUAAAACUGGUGAACAUACACUCAGACUACCUGGUUUUUCAACACCGAAUUCUGCUUGUAGAAGUGGUCUGCAGGUGGAUUCGAACAUACACUUAAGGCGAGGAAGACGAUGAUGAUAAUGAAAGUGAGGUUCUUGAAUCUUUCAGCAGUGACGAUCUUCUGUGAUCGAUCCUUCUUAAAGCUGCAAUCCUACAGCUGAAGAUGCUCACACUUUUACGAUAAAACUCAUGAGAAUUGGUUGAAUCAAGAACAACAUCGUGAGGGGCAAGGCAAAUAAACCAAACCGGAUGAGAAUUGGUAUGCAAUUUUCUUUCAUUUUGUUGAGAUUAAAUUGAUGCCUAAUAUCAAAUUGAUGUGUUUUCACUCUGUUGAGGUUGAAUCAAGAACAAUCAUGAUAAGAAUUGGUUGAAUCAAGAACAUCAUCGUGAGUAGAGGGAAGGAUUAGAGGCCAAAUCCGACAAGAAUUGGUUGAAUCAAGAACAACAUUGUGAUGUUAAAGGGGCAAGGCAUACGGACCAAUCAUGAUAAGAAUUGAACAACAUCAUGAGUAGAGGGAAGGAUUAGAGGCCAAAUCCGGCAAGAAUUGAACAACAUUGUGA